AACUAAUAGAUUUUUUAAAAAUGUCUUGCAAAGAUUCAGUUCCUCUGACUUGCAAGUAAGUAGUGAAGGAGACUAAACAGUCUGCCUAUCUCAUUUUAAAAACUGGGUUUUCUCUUCUGACUGACAGCGUUGCAUUGAUGAAUCAUAGCUGUUGCCCCAAUGUCAUUGUGACCUACAAAGGGACCCUGGCAGAAGUCAGAGCUGUACAGGAAAUCGAGCCGGGAGAGGAGGUUUUUACCAGCUAUAUUGAUCUCCUGUACCCAACGGAAGAUAGAAAUGACAGGUUAAGAGAUUCUUAUUUCUUUACCUGUGAGUGCCAGGAGUGCACCACCAAGGACAAGGAUAAGGCCAAGGUGGAAAUCCGGAAGCUCAGCGAUCCCCCAAAGGCAGAAGUCAUCCGAGACAUGGUCAGAUAUGCACGCAACGUCAUUGAAGAGUUCCGGAGGGCCAAGCACUAUAAAU
Molecule: small RNA, 462 nt
Filed under: Pongo abelii (Sumatran orangutan)
Lineage: Eukaryota; Metazoa; Chordata; Mammalia; Primates; Hominidae
Description: processed transcript
Source: RNAcentral